RNAcentral lists this transfer RNA (72 nucleotides) under Bos taurus (domestic cattle). It matches the Rfam family "tRNA". From Rfam's summary of the family: Transfer RNA (tRNA) molecules are approximately 80 nucleotides in length. Their secondary structure includes four short double-helical elements and three loops (D, anti-codon, and T loops). RNAcentral also lists the same sequence under 1 other name. Lineage: Eukaryota; Metazoa; Chordata; Mammalia; Artiodactyla; Bovidae. The record is from Rfam by way of RNAcentral.
UCCCUGGUACCUCAGUCGGUAAAGAAUCUGCCUGCAAUGCAGGAGACCUGGGUUCGAUUCCUGGGUCGGGAA